ACUCUAGUAUUCUUGCCUGGAGAAUCCCCACAGAGGAGCCUGGCGGGCUACAGUCCACGGGGUCGCAGAGUCGGACAUGACUGAGCGACUAAGCACAUCCCAAAAUUGGGAACUGCCUGGAAAAGCUGCAUGCUGUGAUCUGCAUGUGGAUGGUGGAUAACUGCGGCCCCACAUCUCCAUUGAAGUUACCGGUUGAAUUUUUGGAAAAGGAAAAGGAGAUGGAUGCUGCUGUCCUAAAGCCAGUGGGUCUCCAGCACUAGAAGGAGGAUGAACAGAAAGGCCUUUCCUUACUGACAUCUGGUUCAGACGUUUUAUGGCAGAUACCUGCCUCAUCGUUGCUUUUCCAUUCUCAUAACAUCUCUCACAUUUGGAGAUUAAAAGUUCUUUAGUAACACCUUCCGGAGUGUAUACAAAAGAUUAAAAAGUGUUUAUCUUUAAAGAACCAGAAACUGGUAUCAGUGAGGAAAAGAUUCAUACAUCUUUUACAUUAUAAUCUAAUUAUUGUCGAAGUCAGCUUUAACUACCCUUUUCCACUUCUCUGAAUUUAAAGACAGAGAUAAUAUCUUGCUGUUUACAAAAACAGAUUCAAAGGAGAUACAAGGUUAAAGAUGUUGCCUGUGUGUGAUCUGUUUUUCCCCUCUAGAUUUUCUACCCAAAAGUUCUCCACAAUAUUCUCAGACUCUGCAGAUACACUGGAGACAAUCCAAGCCCUGAAUUCCACUUUUUCAAAGGAUCUUUCAGGAAUGAGCUAAGCAGUGGUCCGUCUGCAGCUGGAUCAAAAACUAAACUGGCAUCUCAUUCAAGUUACACACUGUGGCAAAGUUACACACUGAGAGCAGCUGUUAAAGUAGCAUUGCCUGUGGGUUCAGUUCCUCCAUCAGCCGUGCAAGCUUCGCUAUGCUCCAUGGCCACAAAACGUGGUUCUAAACAAAGCCAGAUCGGCACCGGAUGCAUGUGAUGAGUAAGUGGGAGGAUCCAGCUAGGUUGAAGCAUCUCCCUCUGCCCACUUCAGACUCUUGCAAGCCCAGGUAAAGGCCGCCUCCUUGGGAGGUCCUUCCCUGAUAAAGAAAGAAAACCUCAUCCUUGCCUCACCACCACUGCCAUUUACCCUUCCCCACCUGUGUUAUUUCUACCUUGUCUUAUAGUAGUCCUUAAGAGGAGUCCUUAAGGAAAGACAGUGUCUAGAUCAUCCAGGAAUUUCCAAAACUCACUAUUUAUUGAAUGAAUGAAUAAAUGAAUGAGUGGCCUAAGACCUAUUCCUAUAGACAAUACUGCCUCUAGUCAUAAGCUACAAAAAGUUUGCGUAUGAUUUCCAGCAUUCUUGUGCAUAUUUAACCUUAUGUUGCCUAGGUUUUACAUUAUUUAACAGUUUUCUCUAAAAAAAAUUGGAGUGUAAGAAGCAGUCUAAGCAGUGUAAGAAGGAGUGAAGAGAAAGUUUUAGGAAGUAGUGGUAGCUGAAGACAGAGGACAAAUAUAGC
Long non-coding RNA from Bos taurus (domestic cattle), 1478 nucleotides. The record is from Ensembl. Lineage: Eukaryota; Metazoa; Chordata; Mammalia; Artiodactyla; Bovidae.